CCCGCCCCUCCUUCCCCGCCCCGCCGCAACCGCGGAAAACCCGCGGGCGGAGGCCAAGGCCCAGCGCGGCCCGGCUGUGUCCCUGCGUCCCAGGGGCUGGGCGCGCCCGGCCUGCCCAGCGGGGGAUGCGGGGCGCUGUCACUUCCUCCCAGCAGCCGGGCAGGGGCGGGGGGCUGGCCGCGCGUCGCAUGGUAUGUGGAGUUCGGGGGACGGCACGGGGACGACGGGGUUGUCAGGCGCGGAGCCAUUGUCCGACGACGGCUCCUGAUAGGCCGCCUGGAUGGGGCGCGCUUGGCCGCGUUCCCGCGUCACACACCGGCUCCAGCUGCGGGAGAGCCCGUCCCACCCCAACUCCCCAGCCGCCCCUCUGAAGUGUUCCGGUGUCACCGUGGCCACAAGGAGGCAGGGGACGGGGGCUUCCUGAAGGAGGCCCCCUAAGGGGAAGGGGGCUACAAGGCUGGCCAGAGUGCUGGCCGCGCGGCUGUGCACAGGGCCUUGAGCCCCUCCGGUCGUCAAGCCUUGCUUGAAAUGCGUAAAUGCGGAAAGGUGAAGUGGCUGACCCGGCUCACACCACUUUAAGUAGCGGAGUGGGGUUCCUAGCCAGGCCUAUGGGACUCCCACUGGAGCCUUUCCCCCUCUGGGGCUGGGGCUGGACCCACAGGCUGCCGGAGCAGGCAGAAGGGGAGGGGCCCAAGGCCCAGACUCCAGGGCCUCGUCUGGAUCAUCAACCCGGCUUUGCCCAUUCAGCGCAGGCCUCCGUUUCCAGGCCUGUCUCCCCAUCCACACCGUCUCUCAGGGGUCGUGCAACCAACAGCACCCUCCACCUGCAGAAAUCGUCACCUGGCAAAACGGAAACUCUACCCACUAUGCACUAACUCCUCUUUCCCUCUCCUCCGGGCCCUGGCAACCGCCAUUCUACCUUUCGUCUCUGUGGUCUUGACUAUUCUAUGUACUGCAAAUAAAUAGAGUCACACAGCGUU
RNAcentral lists this long non-coding RNA (980 nucleotides) under Homo sapiens (human). RNAcentral describes it as "HSALNT0379460". Lineage: Eukaryota; Metazoa; Chordata; Mammalia; Primates; Hominidae. The record is from RNAcentral.